AAAAAACACAAUUUCCGGCCUUUAUAGACUGGGCUUGUGUGGAAAUCUCUUAAUUUAGCAAAAUUUUUACAAAGUGGUUUCUGAAUAGUGUCACAAGAACAGUACAACAGAGACUAAAAGAAACCUUCGAGACAGUUCUGGAACAUCAUGGCACUGACAUAC
Molecule: long non-coding RNA, 162 nt
Organism: Salarias fasciatus (jewelled blenny)
Lineage: Eukaryota; Metazoa; Chordata; Actinopteri; Blenniiformes; Blenniidae
Exons: 3
Source: RefSeq, a predicted model, not a curated record